GGACGAACGCUGGCGGCGUGCUUACCCCAUGCAAGUCGAACGGAAAGGCGCUGCUUUUGUGGGGUGCUCGAGUGGCGAACGGGUGAGUAACACGUGAGUAACCUGCCCUUGACUUUGGGAUAACUUCAGGAAACUGGGGCUAAUACCGGAUAGGAGCUCCUGCUGCAUGGUGGGGGUUGGAAAGUUUCGGCGGUUGGGGAUGGACUCGCGGCUUAUCAGCUUGUUGGUGGGGUAGUGGCUUACCAAGGCUUUGACGGGUAGCCGGCCUGAGAGGGUGACCGGCCACAUUGGGACUGAGAUACGGCCCAGACUCCUACGGGAGGCAGCAGUGGGGAAUAUUGCACAAUGGGCGGAAGCCUGAUGCAGCAACGCCGCGUGCGGGAUGACGGCCUUCGGGUUGUAAACCGCUUUCGCCUGUGACGAAGCGUGAGUGACGGUAAUGGGUAAAGAAGCACCGGCUAACUACGUG
This 469-nucleotide ribosomal RNA is filed under the name uncultured bacterium. RNAcentral describes it as "partial 16S ribosomal RNA". It matches the Rfam family "Bacterial small subunit ribosomal RNA", at positions 27 to 507 of the family's 1533-position model. The record is from RNAcentral.